Molecule: long non-coding RNA, 476 nt
Organism: Chroicocephalus ridibundus (black-headed gull)
Lineage: Eukaryota; Metazoa; Chordata; Aves; Charadriiformes; Laridae
Exons: 4
Source: RefSeq, a predicted model, not a curated record
UUCCGAGGGCGGCCGUUUGGCGGGCUGGUCUCCUCAGGUCGCCGUCCACCUCAAACCUCCGGCGGGCAGCCGCCCUCUCCCGUCCUGCCUGUCCCGUCCUGGCGGUGAGAAGCGCCGCACGUCCGGCAGGCAGCCCGGGGAAUUGCAAUGUCCAUGGGUUGGAUGUCAAGCGGCUGGGAAGGGCACAAUUUCCACUCUGCAGGGAAAGGUGUUGCCGGAGUUUGGGAAGGAGACAUCAUAACAAAUGGAGCCAUUAGAAUGGAGUGAGACAACAUUGCAUAAGGGAUGAUGAAAAUACAGAACGAUGGUUCCCCUUCAAAGAGCUUACAGCUGGAUACAGAUGAGCUUGUGAGAAAAGAGUGGGAAAGAAUGAGAUACCAAAACCGGACACCUGCCGGUAUCUGUCUCACUGAUGCUUCAUCCGGAGAGAAAAUUGCUUCCCUACUCCUACUUCUUACUCCUUGGAAACAUCUGAG